AAACACACACUCUGCAUUAUAUACACACUCUUUGUAUAUAAUGCAGAGUGUGUAUAUAAUGCAGAGUGUGUGUUU
Pelobates cultripes (western spadefoot toad) is the source of this 75-nucleotide non-coding RNA. The record is from the annotation of a GenBank genome assembly. Lineage: Eukaryota; Metazoa; Chordata; Amphibia; Anura; Pelobatidae.